RNAcentral lists this long non-coding RNA (884 nucleotides) under Olea europaea (common olive). RNAcentral describes it as "long non-coding RNA (OEUR_LNC014256)". Lineage: Eukaryota; Viridiplantae; Streptophyta; Magnoliopsida; Lamiales; Oleaceae. The record is from RNAcentral.
UUUUUUUUAACUUUGACUACUUGUAAUGUUUUACGUGUUAACUAUGACUCUCUGACCAAAAUUUGUAAAAGCAACAGUUGUAGGUGAAAGUUUACAUGUCCCUAAUCAUAACUUUUAUUCUCAGCGUCAGAUUCUAAUCACAAAGAGUUGAACCAUUUCCCAUCCAACAGUUACAAGUGAAAAAGAUGCGUGCAUCGUUUACAUAGUAACACUCCCCUCCAUUUUGCCGAACCCAAAUAAAAAUCCACAAAAUAGAAUUUCAAAACAACUACACAAUCUGUUCCCUUUUCUUUGUCUUCUCCGCCAACAUAUCAACAAUCAACCGUCGCUCCAUGGCAACGUCGCCUCGCACAUUUCUUGAAAUCCAUUGCUUAUAAACAUUUAUAUCAAUGAUCAGCCGUCCCUUCUCUUUGUCUUCUCCAUCGACUUUUCUUACUUUAUUGCCUAAUAAUGUUUAAAUUCCUCAUAUUAAAUUCAAAAAAAAAAAAAUGAAACAAGCAAAGGAAAGAGAUAUAAUAUAUUCACCAAUUAUAACAAAAAUAAGAUCAACAUUGAAAAUAACAAUAAUAAUAAUAAUAAUGAUGCUAUCAUAAAACUAUUUUUGUGUGUGUUUCGGAAAGAGAGAUAGAAUAAAGGUAAGUAUAAAUCUCGAGAAAGUGGGCUAGGGGGAAAUCAGUGGAGAGAUGAGAGAAAACUUGGUCCAUGUGCUUGGAGUCCUUUCACCGUGACGUCCAAAAGUGUAGAAUGAUCGGAGAGCACUUCCCAGUGGUUCGAUUAAGCUUAGCCUUCGAUUUUACCUCUUCAAUGCUCUUUCUCAAUCACCUGCCAUUUUUUCUAUGAGAUUCUAUUCAUUGGCGGACCUAUGCAUGGUCCUGGUGGGUCAA